GAUGAACGCUAGCGAUAGGCUUAACACAUGCAAGUCGAGGGGCAGCAUGGUCUUAGCUUGCUAAGGCUGAUGGCGACCGGCGCACGGGUGCGUAACGCGUAUGCAACUUGCCUCACAGAGGGGGAUAACCCGUCGAAAGACGGACUAAUACCGCGUACACUCUAUGUUGGGCAUCCAAUGUAGAGGAAAUGAAAUUCGCUGUGAGAUAGGCAUGCGUCCCAUUAGCUAGUUGGUGAGGUAACGGCUCACCAAGGCGACGAUGGGUAGGGGAACUGAGAGGUGGAACCCCCACACUGGUACUGAGACACGGACCAGACGCCUACGGGAGGCAGCAGUGAGGAAUAUUGGUCAAUGGGCAAGAGCCUGAACCAGCCAAGUCGCAUGAAGGAAGACUGGAUUAUGGAUUAUAAACUUCUUUUAUACGGGAACAACAAGAGUCACGUGUGGCUCCCUGCAUGUACCGUAUGAAUAAGCAUCGGCUAACUCCGUG
Molecule: ribosomal RNA, 490 nt
Filed under: uncultured bacterium
Lineage: Bacteria
Description: partial 16S ribosomal RNA
Rfam family: Bacterial small subunit ribosomal RNA
Source: RNAcentral